AUUGAACGCUGGCGGCAUGCUUUACACAUGCAAGUCGAACGGUAACAGGCCUUCGGGUGCUGACGAGUGGCGAACGGGUGAGUAAUGUAUCGGAACGUACCCAGAGGUGGGGGAUAACGCAGCGAAAGCUGUGCUAAUACCGCAUGUGAUCUGAGGAUGAAAGCGGGGGACCGAGCAGCAAUGUUUGGCCUCGCGCCUUUGGAGCGGCCGAUGUCGGAUUAGCUAGUUGGUGGGGUAAAGGCCUACCAAGGCGACGAUCCGUAGCUGGUCUGAGAGGACGACCAGCCGCACUGGGACUGAGACACGGCCCAGACUCCUACGGGAGGCAGCAGUGGGGAAUUUUGGACAAUGGGCGCAAGCCUGAUCCAGCAAUGCCGCGUGCGGGAAGAAGGCCUUCGGGUUGUAAACCGCUUUUGGCAGGAACGAAACGGUGUCCGCUAAUACCGGGCGCUAAUGACGGUACCUGCAGAAUAAGCACCGGCUAACUACGUG
This 492-nucleotide ribosomal RNA is filed under the name uncultured bacterium. RNAcentral describes it as "partial 16S ribosomal RNA". It matches the Rfam family "Bacterial small subunit ribosomal RNA", at positions 29 to 507 of the family's 1533-position model. The record is from RNAcentral.